Drosophila willistoni is the source of this 621-nucleotide long non-coding RNA. RefSeq lists it as uncharacterized. The transcript is spliced from 4 exons. The record is from RefSeq and is a predicted model, not a curated record. Lineage: Eukaryota; Metazoa; Arthropoda; Insecta; Diptera; Drosophilidae.
CAACAAACAAAACAAUUUCAAAAAUACAAGUAUCAAACGUUAAGCAAAAACUUGUUGAAGUUGUCUAGACUGAUAUGUUGUGUAGUGCCAAUUGGACAGGCUAGUCAAUAUAGAUAUAUAUAUAUAUAUAUAUGCAUAGUCUUCAGGUCUGAUUAAAUUGAAACCAAAUCAAUUUGGCAUCAAUAGAAAUACAUACAAAUAAUGACAAAUAAAUAUGAAAGCGAAGAAAAUAACAACAAAAUGAUGGGAUCAAUUGGAAUAUAAGCACAGGGGCAUGCAUCAAAUUCCAAACUCAACGCUGCUGCGACUUGUCGACUUGACUAUGCUACAAUCCCUGACCAGGCCCAGUCAUGGCUGCUGCUCAAUCUGAAUAAUUAAUGCAGUUUUGCUCCUUUCGUAGAUUCGGUCGUUUUCUGUCUCUCACUCUCACUACAGUAAACUAAAACCAACUGAUUCUGUUCCUAGUGCAAACGGCAAACGGCAAAACUAAUUUAUGGCAUUAAAAAUGCAUAUUUUCUAGCAGUGCGUUGCCUGUUUUUAUCAUUUGCCAACUGCCAGAGAAAGGCAACCACCCAAAAUAAAAAAAAGAAAAAGGAGAACAAAAAAAAAUUAUAUAUACAC